UUACGGCCACAUCACGUUAAACACCGGUUCCCGUACGAUCACAGACGUUAAGCAACGUUGAUCCUGGUCGGUACAUAGAUGGGUGACCGCUUGGGAACACCAGGUGCUGUAAU
Non-coding RNA from Acanthosepion pharaonis, 113 nucleotides. The record is from the annotation of a GenBank genome assembly. NCBI's taxonomy places the organism in Eukaryota, Metazoa, Mollusca, Cephalopoda, Sepiida, Sepiidae.